UACGUAGGGUGCAAGCGUUAAUCGGAAUUACUGGGCGUAAAGCGUACGCAGGCGGCUAUGUAAGACAGGUGUGAAAUCCCCGGGCCUAACCUGGGAACUGCAUUUGUGACUGCAUAGCUAGGGUCCGUCAGAGGGGGGUGGAAUUCCACGUGUAGCAGUGAAAUGCGUAGAGAUGUGGAGGAACACCGAUGGCGAAGGCAGCCCCCUGGGAUGAGACUGACGCUCAUGUACGAAAGCGUGGGGAGCAAACAGG
RNAcentral lists this ribosomal RNA (253 nucleotides) under uncultured bacterium. Its description in RNAcentral is "partial 16S ribosomal RNA". It matches the Rfam family "Bacterial small subunit ribosomal RNA", at positions 524 to 776 of the family's 1533-position model. The record is from RNAcentral.